GACGAACGCUGGCGGCGUGCUUAACACAUGCAAGUCGAACGGAAAGGCCCUGCUUUUGUGGGGUGCUCGAGUGGCGAACGGGUGAGUAACACGUGAGUAACCUGCCCUUGACUUUGGGAUAACUUCAGGAAACUGGGGCUAAUACCGGAUAGGAGCUCCUGCUGCAUGGUGGGGGUUGGAAAGUUUCGGCGGUUGGGGAUGGACUCGCGGCUUAUCAGCUUGUUGGUUGGGUAGUGGCUUACCAAGGCUUUGACGGGUAGCCGGCCUGGGAGGGUGACCGGCUACGUUGGGACUGGACUACGGCACAGCCUAGUACGGGAGGCAGCAGUGGGGAAUAUUGCACUAUGGGCGGAAGCCUGAUGCAGCAACGCCGCGUGCGGGAUGACGGCCUUCGGGUUGUAUACCGCUUUCGCCUGUGACGAAGCGUGAGUGACGGUAAUGGGUAAAGAAGCACCGGCUAACUACGUG
RNAcentral lists this ribosomal RNA (468 nucleotides) under uncultured bacterium. Its description in RNAcentral is "partial 16S ribosomal RNA". It matches the Rfam family "Bacterial small subunit ribosomal RNA", at positions 28 to 507 of the family's 1533-position model. The record is from RNAcentral.